GGACGAACGCUGGCGGCGUGCUUAACACAUGCAAGUCGAGCGGUAAGGCCCUUUCGGGGGUACACGAGCGGCGAACGGGUGAGUAACACGUGGGUGACCUGCCCCUAGCUCUGGGAUAAGCCUGGGAAGCUGGGUCUAAUACCGGAUAUGACCUCGCGGUGCAUGUUGCGGGGUGGAAAGCCUUGUGCGGCUAGGGAUGGGCCCGCGGCCCAUCAGCUUGUUGGUGGGGUNAUGGCCUACAAGGCGACGACGGUAGCCGGCCUGAGAGGGCGACCGGCACACUGGGACUGAGACACGGCCCAGACU
This 306-nucleotide ribosomal RNA is filed under the name uncultured bacterium. RNAcentral describes it as "bacterial SSU rRNA". It matches the Rfam family "Bacterial small subunit ribosomal RNA", at positions 27 to 337 of the family's 1533-position model. The record is from RNAcentral.